ACACCAGUAGCGAAGCCGGUUUCCUGGCCACAUACUGACACUGAGGCUCGAAAGCGUGGGGAGCAAACAGGAUUAGAUACCCUGGUAGUCCACGCCGUAAUACGAUGGGCACUAGAUAUCGGGGAAUUCAUCUUCUUCGAUGUCGCAGUUAACGCGAUAAGUGCCCGGCCUGGGGAGUACGCUCGCAAGGGUGAAACUCAAAGGAAUUGACGGGGGCCCGCACAAGCGGUGGAGCAUGCGCUUUAAUUCGAUGCACGUCGAAGAACCUGACCUGGGCUUGACAUGGGAGUGAAACUUCCCAGAGAUGGGAAGCCGUCCUUAGGGAACACUCUACACAGAUACUGCAUGGUGGUAGUCAGUUCGCCUCGUGAGAUGAUGGGUUAAGUCCCGCAACCGAGUGCUACCUUCGCCGGUUAUCGGCCAUCAGGGAAUUCCUGCAACUCUAGGGGGUCCGCCUGGAACAAUCCAGGAGGAAGUUGGGGAUGAUGUCAAAUCACUCAUGGCUCUGACGUCCAUGGGCAUAGACGCGUGCUACUAUGGUCGGUACAGAAGGAUGCCAAGUCGCGAGACCGAGCUAAUCCAGUAUACCGGCGUCAGUUCGGAAUUUGGAGAUAGCCAAUUCGACUCCAUGAAGAUGGAAUCGGUAGUAAUCCCGGAUCAGCUAUUCCGCGGUGCAUAUGUUCCCGGGCGAUUGUACUACACCGCCCGUCAAGCCGCGACAGAUGGGAGUGCCCGAACUCG
Molecule: ribosomal RNA, 741 nt
Filed under: uncultured organism
Description: bacterial SSU rRNA
Rfam family: Bacterial small subunit ribosomal RNA
Source: RNAcentral